This 295-nucleotide long non-coding RNA is filed under the name Elaeis guineensis (African oil palm). Its description in RNAcentral is "long non-coding RNA (EGUI_LNC076989)". The record is from RNAcentral. Lineage: Eukaryota; Viridiplantae; Streptophyta; Magnoliopsida; Arecales; Arecaceae.
CCUCAUCCAAGCGUUGAAAAUGGCAUAAUUAGUCUUGUGCCGCUCAACAUCAUCAGGAGUACUAAAAGAAUCUCUCAAUACUUGGAGUAUCUCCUCUGGCUGAGCCUCUUCAAAUUUUCAACUAAACUCGUCGUUCAUAGAGGUUCGCAUAAUGCAAUGAAUCAUGGUGCGGUCGCUGAGCCACUUCAAAUAAGUAUCUCAAAUUAUAAUCACAUAUAGGAUCCGCUCAUGCUCCAGGAUAAUCUUUAGCUUUCGAUAUCAAUUAUCAAAAUUUAGCCCGAUUAGCUUCUCACUG